UGGGGAAUUUUGGACAAUGGGCGCAAGCCUGAUCCAGCCAUGCCGCGUGAGUGAAGAAGGCCUUCGGGUUGUAAAGCUCUUUUGGCGGGGACGAUAAUGACGGUACCCGCAGAAUAAGCCCCGGCUAACUUCAUGCCAGCAGCCGCGGUAAUACGUAGGGUGCGAGCGUUAAUCGGAAUUACUGGGCGUAAAGCGUGCGCAGGUGGCGUCGCAAGUCAGGCGUGAAAUCCCCGGGCUUAACCUGGGAAUUGCGCUUGAAACUACGAUGCUAGAGUGCGGCAGAGGGAGGUGGAAUUCCACGUGUAGCGGUGAAAUGCGUAGAGAUGUGGAGGAACACCGAUGGCGAAGGCAGCCCCCUGGGCCAACACUGACGCUCAGGCACGAAAGCGUGGGGAGCAAACAGGAUUAGAUACCCCCGUAGUCCCUGAGCGGGCUGGCAAGGCGCAU
RNAcentral lists this ribosomal RNA (447 nucleotides) under uncultured bacterium. Its description in RNAcentral is "bacterial SSU rRNA". It matches the Rfam family "Bacterial small subunit ribosomal RNA", at positions 355 to 825 of the family's 1533-position model. The record is from RNAcentral.